This 347-nucleotide unclassified non-coding RNA is filed under the name soil metagenome. RNAcentral's name for it is "partial contains 5.8S ribosomal RNA, internal transcribed spacer 2, and large subunit ribosomal RNA". The stretch from base 1 to 120 matches the Rfam family "5.8S ribosomal RNA", at positions 35 to 154 of the family's 154-position model. The record is from RNAcentral.
GAUGAAGAACGUAGCGAAAUGCGAUACGUAAUGUGAAUUGCAGAAUUCAGUGAAUCAUCGAGUCUUUGAACGCACAUUGCGCCCCCUGGUAUUCCGGGGGGCAUGCCUGUCCGAGCGUCAUUGCUGCCCUCAAGCACGGCUUGUGUGUUGGGCCUCCGCCCCCCGGCUCCCGGGGGGCGGGCCCGAAAGGCAGCGGCGGCACCGCGUCCGGUCCUCGAGCGUAUGGGGCUUCGUCACCCGCUCCGUAGGCCCGGCCGGCGCCCGCCGGCGACCCCCCUCAAUCUUUCCAGGUUGACCUCGGAUCAGGUAGGGAUACCCGCUGAACUUAAGCAUAUCAAAGCGGAGGA